Long non-coding RNA from Esox lucius (northern pike), 1735 nucleotides. The record is from Ensembl. Lineage: Eukaryota; Metazoa; Chordata; Actinopteri; Esociformes; Esocidae.
CACAGUGGAUGAUGCGGCUAUCUACCAGGCUUCAGCCAGUAACAGCAAAGGCAUUGUCUCCUGCUCUGGGGUUCUGGAGGUAGGCACCAUGAGUGAGUUCAAGAUUCACCAGAGAUUCUUUGCCAAACUGAAACAGAAAGCAGAGAACAAGAGGAGGGAGUUGGACGAGAGCAGGAGGAGAGGCAAAGAGAGCAUCCAGAAGGAGCCUCGUGAACAACAGCCUCUCCGGUGCAGCCCAAUCCCCCCUCUGAGGAAGCGUCACACCCAAAUCCCUCCCUUUUCACCAUUGGAUGGGAAGGAGGACCCAUUCAGUCGGGGGGGAGCGACUGCAGGGCAGCCAGCAACUGCUGUUACAGAACCUAACUGGGUUAGUGAUGAAGUCAUUGAACUGCCUGCAGGGAGCAAGAUUCAUAACAAUGAUUUUGACAACAUGAAUAUUGUUACCCCGAAGCCCCCAACCCCAGAAACUGUUGCCAAAAAGAAGAUGAAGAUCUCAAAUGGGGUAGAUUCCGAUGUUGUCAGCAGUAACAGCAGUCAUACAGGAUCCAGCUCCAAUGAAAAUUCAUAUGACGGAGGGAUGAGUUUGGCACAAUUUUUGUCAGAGGCUCUUCAUUCACAGACUGAUGAAGAAAAGAUUGCUGCACAAGGGGAUGGCACUGCGACAGAGGAGACAAUGGAUCCAACGUUUGCUGUUUCUAAACCAGAUGCAGAGAAAGGGAUAGAGGAGAAGUGGAGAGAGAGGGCGGACAGAGAAAGGAUGUUUGGAAAAGAACAGGAAAGAGAAAAAAUGAUAGAGAAAGGAAUAUCAUAUGAAAUAGAAAAAGAACGAGCCAGAGAAGUCGAUCAGUUGCAAAGGAAAACAGCACAUAACGCUUCCUCAGAUGUCAAAACUGAGGCAAAGAUACACACCCACGAUUACCAUGACCAUCACCCCAUUCAAGAAACUCUUUCCAAUGUGCUCCACUCAGUCAAAGAUUUUUUCUUUGGUAAGAGUAAGAAGGAUAACCCUUCUCUUGAUCAUCAUGUGAAAGCUCAGGAGAAAGGUCAUCCAAUUAUCCCAUCACAACCAUUUGUGCAUCAAAAUCCCCAUCCACGGGAGCUAGAUACUCAACUGGAGGUGUAUCAAACCAUCACGGACAAGACUGUAUCCAUGGACGUAGAUGAGCCACAGAAAGCCCAGAUAGCUGUGAUACCACAGCAGCAACCGCUGCCCUUGGAGCAGUGGAACCCAACAGAACACAAACAUGGAAUUACAGUUUCACACUCAGAAAAAAAACAUUUAGCACCCCAAACGGCACUAGAGAGUGGGCUUGAUUCACUGGAGCAUGCAGAGCGGACGGCCUUGAACGUGUGUCUGGAGGUGAUCAAAAAUAAUACAGAGAAAGGACCAACAUCUGGCCCUCCAGCCCUCUAUGGGGUAAGUUGUGCCUUGUUGCUUUUGAGAUCACAUUGACUGCUCAGUCUCACACUGCACUAGGCAGCCACUUAAAGGCUAUUUAUAGGUUAUACAUUUGUGCAGCAGGUCUUGAGUCUAAAUAUCCCUAGGCUAAUCUCGUUCCCAGACACUUGUGCGCAUUGGUGAUAAAGGUCUGGUGGAACAACACGUAAACAUUUGCCAGAUUUACUCCAAAAGCAAAUGGUGAGAAAUACCUGGCAUUCGGCAUUGGCUUAAACAGUUUAGUAUACCAAUCAACCUCUCUCAUUACAUUUUUCACAAUGUGUUUUUUGCCCCCAA